UUUAUAAUAUUUUUAUGCUCAGAUUAAAUAUGACGUGUUAACAUUAAUCAGUAGAAUUUGAGAUAAUUUUAUGUAAGGAUAUUAAUCAUUCAAUCAAGGAUACAAUGAUUAUACUAAAUGAAACACUUUAAAGAUCAGAUUUAUUAAUCUUAGAUUUUUAGAAUAGUCUUGAGAAUUACUUAUAAAGAAAAAACAAUCUGUUGUUAUAAAACUUUUUA
RNAcentral lists this long non-coding RNA (218 nucleotides) under Phoenix dactylifera (date palm). RNAcentral describes it as "long non-coding RNA (PDAC_LNC007124)". Lineage: Eukaryota; Viridiplantae; Streptophyta; Magnoliopsida; Arecales; Arecaceae. The record is from RNAcentral.